RNAcentral lists this ribosomal RNA (570 nucleotides) under Staphylococcus warneri. RNAcentral's name for it is "bacterial SSU rRNA". It matches the Rfam family "Bacterial small subunit ribosomal RNA", at positions 200 to 758 of the family's 1533-position model. Lineage: Bacteria; Bacillati; Bacillota; Bacilli; Caryophanales; Staphylococcaceae. The record is from RNAcentral.
GUGAAAGGCGGCUUUGCUGUCACUUAUAGAUGGAUCCGCGCCGUAUUAGCUAGUUGGUAAGGUAACGGCUUACCAAGGCAACGAUACGUAGCCGACCUGAGAGGGUGAUCGGCCACACUGGAACUGAGACACGGUCCAGACUCCUACGGGAGGCAGCAGUAGGGAAUCUUCCGCAAUGGGCGAAAGCCUGACGGAGCAACGCCGCGUGAGUGAUGAAGGUCUUCGGAUCGUAAAACUCUGUUAUCAGGGAAGAACAAAUGUGUAAGUAACUGUGCACAUCUUGACGGUACCUGAUCAGAAAGCCACGGCUAACUACGUGCCAGCAGCCGCGGUAAUACGUAGGUGGCAAGCGUUAUCCGGAAUUAUUGGGCGUAAAGCGCGCGUAGGCGGUUUUUUAAGUCUGAUGUGAAAGCCCACGGCUCAACCGUGGAGGGUCAUUGGAAACUGGAAAACUUGAGUGCAGAAGAGGAAAGUGGAAUUCCAUGUGUAGCGGUGAAAUGCGCAGAGAUAUGGAGGAACACCAGUGGCGAAGGCGACUUUCUGGUCUGUAACUGACGCUGAUGUGCGAAA